Molecule: ribosomal RNA, 240 nt
Filed under: Streptomyces sp. RPAUACT-21
Lineage: Bacteria; Bacillati; Actinomycetota; Actinomycetes; Kitasatosporales; Streptomycetaceae
Description: partial 16S ribosomal RNA
Rfam family: Bacterial small subunit ribosomal RNA
Source: RNAcentral
CAAGGCGACGACGGGUAGCCGGCCUGAGAGGGCGACCGGCCACACUGGGACUGAGACACGGCCCAGACUCCUACGGGAGGCAGCAGUGGGGAAUAUUGCACAAUGGGCGAAAGCCUGAUGCAGCGACGCCGCGUGAGGGAUGACGGCCUUCGGGUUGUAAACCUCUUUCAGCAGGGAAGAAGCGAAAGUGACGGUACCUGCAGAAGAAGCGCCGGCUAACUACGUGCCACAGGCCGCGGC